Molecule: non-coding RNA, 917 nt
Organism: Labrus bergylta (ballan wrasse)
Lineage: Eukaryota; Metazoa; Chordata; Actinopteri; Labriformes; Labridae
Source: RefSeq, a predicted model, not a curated record
UCUACAAUCUGUCCAAAACCAUACACAACUCGUCUGACGCCGGGACGUACUACUGCGCUGUGCUCACAUGUGGACAAAUCCUGUUUGGUGAAGGAACUACAGUGAAGACACAACAAGAACCGUGGCCGUUUUACAUCACGUUUGGGACACUGCUGCCCUACAGCGUGUUUGUGACGGCUGCUCUCAUUUUCUACAGAAACCAAAGGCCCGUGUGUAAACAGUGCAAAGGAGAAAAAACUGCGUCCAAUCAAGGCGAACGUCACAGAUCAGCUGAAGAUCAACCAAAUAACGAGGAUGCUGACGAGGCGGCUCUGAACUACGUAGCGCUGGAUUUUGCAGCUAGGAAAGCUAAAAGAUGGACGGCUGCGAGGGAGCAGUCGCUGGAUUGUACAUACUCCGGUGUAGGAGAAAGUCUAUGAAUGGAUUUAUUGACACGUACAGACAGAAGCGGCCUGGUUGGACCAAGAAUAGAUCAUUUUACUCUUAUGAGCUCCAUUAUUGUAAACAUUUGAAUGGAAUCUGAAUGUACGAUUUUGACUAUGAUGGAAACAAAUGUCCUCUGCUCUUUAUGUAUUAUUUAUCACAAUAUAAGACAUCUUUUUAAAAGUGGUACAAUUCAACGUAAGGUACUGGACCUGACAAACGAAAUGUAAACAUGAUGAGAUUUCUUUGUUCUUAAUGAAAACUGUUGGCUUUGUGGAACCAUUUGACUACACAGAGACGACUGAACCAUUUUUCUUUUUAUGAAUUUUAGUGGUUCUGAAAAGGAAAAGGGACUCUCUUAUUCCCAAACUGCUUGUGAUGAUAGCCUUGAUGGUAUCCUCUCUGUAGGUUCCAGCUGUGAUACCCCAGCUCCUUGUUUCAUUUUUAUGAAUAAACUCUUUUGUAAGCUGGAUAUAUUUUCCAACAUGACAUUA